UACGUAGGGUGCAAGCGUUUGUCCGGAAUUAUUGGGCGUAAAGAGCUCGUAGGCGGUUUGUCGCGUCGAAUGUGAAAACCCGGGGCUCAACCCCGGGCCUGCAUUCGAUACGGGCAGACUGGAGUACUGCAGGGGAGACUGGAAUUCCUGGUGUAGCGGUGGAAUGCGCAGAUAUCAGGAGGAACACCGGUGGCGAAGGCGGGUCUCUGGGCCGAUACUGACGCUGAGGAGCGAAAGCGUGGGGAGCGAACAGG
This 254-nucleotide ribosomal RNA is filed under the name uncultured bacterium. Its description in RNAcentral is "partial 16S ribosomal RNA". It matches the Rfam family "Bacterial small subunit ribosomal RNA", at positions 524 to 776 of the family's 1533-position model. The record is from RNAcentral.